UACCUGGUCUUGACAUCCACAGAACUUUCCAGAGAUGGAUUGGUGCCUUCGGGAACUGUGAGACAGGUGCUGCAUGGCUGUCGUCAGCUCGUGUUGUGAAAUGUUGGGUUAAGUCCCGCAACGAGCGCAACCCUUAUCCUUUGUUGCCAGCGGUUCGGCCGGGAACUCAAAGGAGACUGCCAGUGAUAAACUGGAGGAAGGUGGGGAUGACGUCAAGUCAUCAUGGCCCUUACGACCAGGGCUACACACGUGCUACAAUGGCAUAUACAAAGAGAAGCGACCUCGCGAGAGCAAGCGGACCUCAUAAAG
This 309-nucleotide ribosomal RNA is filed under the name Klebsiella pneumoniae. RNAcentral describes it as "bacterial SSU rRNA". It matches the Rfam family "Bacterial small subunit ribosomal RNA", at positions 972 to 1281 of the family's 1533-position model. Lineage: Bacteria; Pseudomonadati; Pseudomonadota; Gammaproteobacteria; Enterobacterales; Enterobacteriaceae. The record is from RNAcentral.